GGUACCUCCCACACUGAGGGUCUUCCUGAUUCGAUUAAUAUAACUAAGAACAUUCUUUACAAGCAUGCUCAGAAAUGACUCAUCGAUGAUUCUAGAUCCUGUCAAGCUCAUCAGUAUUAAGCACCACUGAGUUUGCUCAGAUUGGUUCAGUCGGCAGUAUGGUUCUUAGUCCCCAGCACACCAACCCUCUGAGAGUCAUUGAUGUAGGAGCAGGUGAGCAGAUUCUCACUCAGCCAAACAAGAUGGUUGGUCAAGUCUGUUGGGAUUCCAGAAUAGAAUAGAACAAUGGAAUGAUGUGGUCACAGAACAACCUUUUCUCCCUUUUUCUCACUCCUUAUCUUUCUUUCUGUCUGGCAACCCCUCUAACCUCUGCCUCCAGGCACAUUCCCACGAAGAGCUCUUGUCUGGUGCCGAAGUAACCAUUUGGAAACAUUAAAAGGACAGAAAUAUUCUAGAUAUAUCUAAAAGCUGGAGGCUAUAGCUGCUCAAACAGCCGAGAAACUUCUGCAGUUAUUGGUAGAGGAUAAAAGCGAUGGUUGAAGCUACUCUUAGCCAAGUUACUUCUACUUGAGCUAAACGUAUUCUUUGCUCAUUCAAAAUAUUUUGCAACACCACACUCUCCAUUUACAAGCAACAAAAGACCACAUCAGUGAACUCUGGAACUAUUUUCCAGAUGGGCCUGCCUCUGAGAAAAUCCAGAAAUACAAAUGCAACCGGGCAAACUGCAGGAGAAUGGUCAAUCAUGGAGACGCUCUUGCUUCUAGGCUACACGCCUGCCUCGAGUCUGCUCCAGAAGGGAUUUCAUGUCCACAUAGGAUCAGGGAUUGAGACAUGCCAAGCAGUUCGGAUGGUAAGCACUGGCUGUUACUGCUGCUGCUGCUGUUUGCAAUCCUGCAGUGGAUAGAACCCAGGGCCUCACGAAUGCCAGGCAAGUGCCUCAGCUAGUACAGCAUUCCCACCCCCUCCACACGUUUUCGUGCAAACGUUCUACUUAAUAAAGCAUCUGCGUAUUUAGCUUA
Molecule: non-coding RNA, 1019 nt
Organism: Rattus norvegicus (Norway rat)
Lineage: Eukaryota; Metazoa; Chordata; Mammalia; Rodentia; Muridae
Source: RefSeq, a predicted model, not a curated record